This 460-nucleotide ribosomal RNA is filed under the name uncultured bacterium. RNAcentral describes it as "partial 16S ribosomal RNA". It matches the Rfam family "Bacterial small subunit ribosomal RNA", at positions 338 to 795 of the family's 1533-position model. The record is from RNAcentral.
CCUACGGGUGACAGCAGUGAGGAAUAUUGGUCAAUGGACGAGAGUCUGAACCAGCCAAGUAGCGUGAAGGAUGACUGCCCUAUGGGUUGUAAACUUCUUUUAUAAAGGAAUAAAACGAGGCACGUGUGCGUUUUUGUAUGUACUAUAUGAAUAAGGAUCGGCUAACUCCGUGCCAGCAGCCGCGGUAAUACGGAGGAUCCGAGCGUUAUCCGGAUUUAUUGGGUUUAAAGGGAGCGUAGAUGGAUUGUUAAGUCAGUUGUGAAAGUUUGCGGCUCAACCGUAAAAUUGCAGUUGAUACUGGCAGUCUUGAGUACAGUAGAGGUGGGCGGAAUUCGUGGUGUAGCGGUGAAAUGCUUAGAUAUCACGAAGAACCCCGAUUGCGAAGGCAGCUUACUAAACUGUGACUGACAUUGAUGCUCGAAAGUGUGGGUAUCAAACAGGAUUAGAUACCCUAGUAGUC